RNA transcript from Hordeum vulgare subsp. vulgare (domesticated barley), 1644 nucleotides. It is a transcript of the gene named lectin-related protein-like, with no coding region annotated. The transcript has 3 exons. The record is from RefSeq and is a predicted model, not a curated record. Lineage: Eukaryota; Viridiplantae; Streptophyta; Magnoliopsida; Poales; Poaceae.
GCUGGCCAAUCAUAAGCGGGAUUAUCACUUCCAACUCCAAGUAGCAGCACAUAUGCUAAUGGCCUCAGGUGCAAGAAGCAGCACGCCGCAGCUUCUCCUACUACUUUACGCUGGCUGCGUCCUCCUUUCCAUGUCUCGUAAUGCUCCUCAGCAUCUCGUAGCAGCCGCCAACUCACCCUUCUCCUUCAGCUUCGACUUCUCCACCAUAUCCAUCUCUCGCUUACAAGACCUCCGAUUGGAGGGCGAUGCGGCCUUGCACGGGAAGCUGGUCGACCUCACCUACAACUCCAUCACGCAGAGAAUCGCCAACAACAACUGCAUGGGGCGGAUGGCGUACGCUCACCCUGUGCCCUUCUAUGACAGUAUCACCGGUGAGGUAUCGAGCUUCACCACACGGUUCAAGUUCGCGAUCGGGCUCAACGUCGGUGGCAGCAACAAAGAGGGUGGCAUGGCUUUCUUCCUCUCCAGCUACCCUUCCAGAUUACCGCCAAGCUCAAGCGGGGGUAACCUCGGUCUCCCUGUCGAUGACGGCCGGAGCCAAGUCCACGGCACAGACCAGUUCAUCGCCGUAGAGUUCGACGUGUUCAGCAACACCUGGGACCCAAGUGGCACCCAGGAUCAUAUCGGCGUCGACAUAAACUCUGUUAGGCAGUCGGUUAACACGACAAGCUUACCCACCUUCAGCUUGAACGGCUCUAUGACAGCGUCCAUCACCUACGACAACAGUACCAAGAUGCUUGUCGCCUCCCUACAGUUUGAUGAUCAUCCUUCUGUCGGCCCCAUUGAGGUAAGCACCAUAUUGCCUGAUCCCGUCACGUCCUUGCUACCGCCGGAGGUGGCGGUGGGGUUUUCUGCGGCCACUGGUACAUCUUUCCAGCUCCAUCAGAUAUUGUCUUGGUCCUUCAACUCAACCCUUUCGACUCACGCAGGUUCUGACGCACAAGACACACAAAUAAAGCGCAGACGAAUGACCACUGGAUCGGUCUUCACUAGCAAAUCAGGUCGCAAAAAGUAUUAUGGACAGCUUUUUGUAAUAUUUCUGGAGUAAUGGUAGCAAGCUGUUGGAAGGAUGUCGCACGGUUCAGGUGGGAAAAUACACUUGAUUCUUUGCGUUAAGAACAACAGGCCUCAGGCGAUUCGAGUACGGAGAAUUGGCCACUAUGACAGGCGAUUUCUCCACCAAGCUUGGAGGCGGUGCCUUUGGCGAAGUAUAUCAGGGAGCUACUGGAAUGAUAGCAGCAUGGAAUGGGAAGAUCUGGCUGUCAAGAAAAUGAAGAACACAACAGGAAGGGAUUUCAGGGAUGAACUCACGACAAUUAGUGAAACAAGGCACAAAAAUCUAGUGGAGCUGAUAGGUUGGUGCUGCAGCCGAGACUUCAUCGGUUAUUGGUGUUGUUGCUUUCAGCACAAGGUUGAACUCUUCCUUGUAUAUGAAUUGGUACCUAAUCGCGACCUGGAAUACCACCUGAAUCACUUUCUACCAUGGGAGAAGAGGUAUGUAUUGCACGUAGCGAUUCUUUUUUUUCCUAUUGCAUCUUAAUUUGGAGUACGUAUAAUCAAUUGCCACCAGGAUUAACUAUUUUACACCUGGUAUAGAGUGGCACACUGUUGUCUAUGGCUUUACCGACAUGAUGUAACAAUAUU